CGUUUCCUCUUUGUUAAUAAACUUCCUAACAUAUUAUUCUUCGAAUAAUUCUACUAUAAAGUAACUAAUAUGAAUUUAUUUUAUCAUAUCAUGAUUGUUGGGAAUUAUGAAAUUAGCUAUUCAUAAUUAUAAAUAGAUAUACCUGUUCGGGUAGCUUUGAUAUUUCUGAGUUUUGUUGUUCCAUAGCUUUUUCCAUUAGAGUAUGUUUAUCUAAUUAACUGAGUAAUAUUUUUUUUGUGGAAUGGAGAGAGAGAUUUGCUUCAACGCAUGAAGGCUUGCCUUUGCAAAGCCUUCUGCCUCUGAUUUAUAUAGAACGAAAAAAGCUUACAAUUUUUACAUGUGUUUUUAAUUUCUGAAACUAAAACCUAAAAAAGUCAAAGAAGGUGGCUUUAUGGCCUACCUAACUUUUCUAAAAGAACGUAAAUUUUCCUAUAAGCUAAUUAAUGUCCUACUAUUACAUUUCAAGACUUUUUUAUCAUAAUUCUAGACUUUUGUACAAUAAUUCUGCCUCUGUACAGUAUCUUGUCUCCGUUGAUUUUGUCGUAUCUGCUCCAUUAUUGCUCUGUAUCUGCUCCAUUAUUGCUCUUUAUCAUAUCUUUCCAGCUGGCAUUUUAUCUUCUUUAUUCUAGAUGUACCUCUGGAAUAAUAUUAUCUUCUCCAUUGCACCUCGAACAUUGGUGGUCUGGAUAUUUGUGUCCGAUUAUCUUACAGUAUCUCGUUAGCAGUCCGUCUGAAAUAAAUCCCUUUUUUAUUGCUCGCGCGGUAGAUUGUUUUUCUGGGUUAAGUAGCGUCAGUAUCCAUUGUCUUACGUCUUCCAUAUCUGCUUGUCUUAGUUCUUUCGAAUUUGAAUAUAUCAUUUGGUGAUCUCUUGAAUAGUAGCUCCAUAUUGGAUUUCCGUUAGCGUAGUUAUUUGCUAGUUCUUGUAUGAUCGUAGCUAGUCCAAUAAGUCUU
RNAcentral lists this long non-coding RNA (951 nucleotides) under Capsicum annuum. Its description in RNAcentral is "long non-coding RNA (CANN_LNC016871)". The record is from RNAcentral. Lineage: Eukaryota; Viridiplantae; Streptophyta; Magnoliopsida; Solanales; Solanaceae.